Long non-coding RNA from Engraulis encrasicolus (European anchovy), 543 nucleotides. RefSeq lists it as uncharacterized. The transcript has 3 exons. The record is from RefSeq and is a predicted model, not a curated record. Lineage: Eukaryota; Metazoa; Chordata; Actinopteri; Clupeiformes; Engraulidae.
CUUGCAGAUGCUGACUGUUGCAGACACUGAAUCGGUCACAAUAGCUGAUAUCAAAGGUCUGUCAUGGAGAGUCCUGCAAGUUCCAUUGGUCCGGUCUUGACAUUCUGUAUGAACAAGUCGAAGGGGUGACGGCCUACAAGGAGAACUGUGAGAAGCUGGUCAGCGCGGUCCGCGCUCUAGAGCAUGACCUACGAUAUCAAAAGGAGGAGGACCUGCAGCAGAGCACUCUAGUGGACCUCCAGAGGACCCUGGAGGACGCGGUGAAGCUGAUGCAGCAGCUCGCAGACGCCAACGUGACAGACCAGUUUAAUGACAUCAACAGACGACUGAGUGGUGCGUCUGUCCCUGCACCUGGAGCAGGUGAGCCAGCAGGAGCCCAGCAGGAUGCCUGAACAUACUGCUCCUCCUUCACAUCCUUAAUGGCCUUUCGAUUAUUUUUUUUUUUUUUCAUUUUUUAUACCUGUAUGCUUUAUUUGAUCUUAUUUGGAUAAAAAACAUCUGCUAAACGUAACGUAAAACGUAAGACGUAAAACGUGGCAAGAA